RNAcentral lists this ribosomal RNA (253 nucleotides) under uncultured bacterium. RNAcentral describes it as "partial 16S ribosomal RNA". It matches the Rfam family "Bacterial small subunit ribosomal RNA", at positions 524 to 776 of the family's 1533-position model. The record is from RNAcentral.
UACGAAGGUCCCAAGCGUUAUCCGGAUUUAUUGGGUUUAAAGGGUGCGUAGGCGGGCUAUUAAGUCAGUGGUGAAAUCUCCAUGCCUAACAUGGAAACUGCCAUUGAUACUGAUGGUCUUGAGUACAUUUGAAGUGGGCGGAAUGUGUCAUGUAGUGGUGAAAUACUUAGAUAUGACACAGAACACCGAUUGCGUAGGCAGCUCACUAAACUGUAACUGACGCUGAGGCACGAAAGCGUGGGGAGCAAACAGG